Molecule: ribosomal RNA, 497 nt
Filed under: uncultured bacterium
Lineage: Bacteria
Description: partial 16S ribosomal RNA
Rfam family: Bacterial small subunit ribosomal RNA
Source: RNAcentral
GAUGAACGCUGGCGGCGUGCCUAAUACAUGCCAGUCGAGCGAACGGACGAGAAGCUUGCUUCUCUGAUGUUAGCGGCGGACGGGUGAGUAACACGUGGAUAACCUACCUAUAAGACUGGGAUAACUUCGGGAAACCGGAGCUAAUACCGGAUGAUAUUUUGAACCGCAUGGUUCAAAAGUGAAAGACGGUCUUGCUGUCACUUAUAGAUGGAUCCGCGCUGCAUUAGCUAGUUGGUAAGGUAACGGCUUACCAAGGCAACGAUGCAUAGCUGACCUGAGAGGGUGAUCGGCCACACUGGAACUGAGACACGGUCCAGACUCCUACGGGAGGCAGCAGUAGGGAAUCUUCCGCAAUGGGCGAAAGCCUGACGGAGCAACGCCGCGUGAGUGAUGAAGGUCUUCGGAUCGUAAAACUCUGUUAUUAGGGAAGAACAUAUGUGUAAGUAACUGUGCACAUCUUGACGGUACCUAAUCAGAAAGCCACGGCUAACUACGUG